This 51-nucleotide non-coding RNA is filed under the name Prorocentrum micans. The record is from RNAcentral. Lineage: Eukaryota; Dinophyceae; Prorocentrales; Prorocentraceae.
GCUACGUAACGGCAUGAAAGUUUUUUUUUUUUUUUUUUUUUUUUUUUUUUU